UAAAUGUAAUGCUUUGUCUUGUGUAAGCAUAUGAUUUCUUGUUUUGGUUGCUUUUUAAUUUAGAUUUGUUUUGCUCUAAUUAUCCUUUGUUUAGUGGACUAUUGUUUGAAAUGGAAACCCCAAAUGAUUCACGUUCAAAAAAAGCAUUACAUUUAAGUAAGGGAACAAGUGAUUGCUAACAAUAUCUAGUAUAAUUAUAAACGUCAUGCAGACCAAGCAGUUAAUGAAUGUCCCCAACUCUAACAAACCUAGACAUGAGCAGUGCCCUGGGUGAAUUUGGGGUCCUCGCAUCUAUACCGCCCAUCAGGUCCAAUUCCAAAGCCUUUUGGAUCUGCAAAGACAUUUUCAAGUAGCUGGCUGCGAGGUGGAAGAGGACUCUCAUCUGCAAAUUCAACAGCAUCCUCAACCACUUCAUCUAU
Molecule: unclassified non-coding RNA, 419 nt
Filed under: Hevea brasiliensis (rubber tree)
Lineage: Eukaryota; Viridiplantae; Streptophyta; Magnoliopsida; Malpighiales; Euphorbiaceae
Source: RNAcentral